RNAcentral lists this transfer RNA (139 nucleotides) under Nostoc punctiforme FACHB-252. RNAcentral's name for it is "tRNA-OTHER". It matches the Rfam family "tRNA". Rfam says of the family: Transfer RNA (tRNA) molecules are approximately 80 nucleotides in length. Their secondary structure includes four short double-helical elements and three loops (D, anti-codon, and T loops). The record is from RNAcentral. RNAcentral also lists the same sequence under 3 other names. Lineage: Bacteria; Bacillati; Cyanobacteriota; Cyanophyceae; Nostocales; Nostocaceae.
UGGUGGGUAGCUCAAUCUGGUAGAGCAAUGAACGGGUUAAUUACCCAUAGUCCUUAGUUCACAAACUUGCCUGUAAAGGCCGACGAAUCGAGGGUUAUCGCCAAUUCAUAGGUUACAGGUUCAAAUCCUGUUCCACCAG